AUACGGAGGAUGCAAGCGUUAUCCGGAUUUAUUGGGUUUAAAGGGUGCGUAGGCUGUUCGACAAGUCAGGGGUGAAAGCCCAGUGCCUAACACUGGAACUGCCUUUGAUACUGCCGAGCUGGAAUACGGAUGCCGUGGGAGGAAUGAGUAGUGUAGCGGUGAAAUGCAUAGAUAUUACUCAGAACACCGAUUGCGAAGGCAUCUCACGAAUCCGUCAUUGACGCUGAGGCACGAAAGCGUGGGGAUCAAACAGGAUUAGAUACCCUGGUAGUCCACGCAGUAAACGAUGAUAACUAACCGUCGGCGAUACACAGUCGGUGGCCAAGCGAAAGCAUUAAGUAUUCCACCUGGGGAGUACGACCGCAAGGUUGAAACUCAAAUGAAUUGGCGGGG
This 393-nucleotide ribosomal RNA is filed under the name uncultured bacterium. RNAcentral's name for it is "partial 16S ribosomal RNA". It matches the Rfam family "Bacterial small subunit ribosomal RNA", at positions 523 to 918 of the family's 1533-position model. The record is from RNAcentral.